This 399-nucleotide long non-coding RNA is filed under the name Homo sapiens (human). Its description in RNAcentral is "HSALNT0227658". The record is from RNAcentral. Lineage: Eukaryota; Metazoa; Chordata; Mammalia; Primates; Hominidae.
CAAAACUACCAGCUGACCCUAAUAUCUUCUUACAUCAGAUGAGGAUUUUUGGCUGGCUCAUGGUCCUAUCAGCUAAAGAUCACCCUUCUUGGCCUCCCCUGCAAGGAGUAUGGUAAUGUAAAGUAAAGCUAAUAAAGGAACCCAAGGAUUGCAUUGUAUCUUGCCUGUACUUCCUGCCUUCAAGAUUCUCUGCACCAGGUUAUGAUCUGGAGUAUUCCUGAGCCUGGGAAGCCAACAGACUGUCUAUGUUUGUCCGGUGGCUGGAGCCCAGCUGGUGACUGCGGUGGUAUGGAAAGAAGGGGCCUGUUUGUUGAAGCCAAGGUGCUGGAAGAACUGCCUGUGUCGUACUGACAAGCCAAAGACUUCCACUGUCUGACUUGAAUCUCGCUGAUUUUUUCC